CGGCUUACCAAGGCGACGAUCAGUAGCCGACCUGAGAGGGUGACCGGCCACAUUGGGACUGAGACACGGCCCAAACUCCUACGGGAGGCAGCAGUGGGGAAUAUUGCACAAUGGGCGGAAGCCUGAUGCAGCGACGCCGCGUGAGUGAAGAAGUAUCUCGGUAUGUAAAGCUCUAUCAGCAGGGAAGAAAAUGACGGUACCUGACUAAGAAGCCCCGGCUAACUAC
Molecule: ribosomal RNA, 226 nt
Filed under: uncultured bacterium
Lineage: Bacteria
Description: partial 16S ribosomal RNA
Rfam family: Bacterial small subunit ribosomal RNA
Source: RNAcentral